This 366-nucleotide ribosomal RNA is filed under the name uncultured bacterium. RNAcentral's name for it is "bacterial SSU rRNA". It matches the Rfam family "Bacterial small subunit ribosomal RNA", at positions 29 to 376 of the family's 1533-position model. The record is from RNAcentral.
AGCGAACGUUAGCGGCGGGCCUAACACAUGCAAGUCGAACGAGAAUAGGGGGGCAACUCCCUUAGUAAAGUGGCGGACGGGUGCGUAACACGUGGGUAAUCUACCUUCCGGCGGGGGACGAACAGUCCGAAAGGAUUGCUAAUACCGCGUACGUCAGCGAGAUCUACGGGUCUUGUUGGGAAAGAUGGCCUCUCCUUGGAAGCUGUCACCGGAAGAUGAGCCCGCGGCCCAUCAGCUAGUUGGUGAGGAAUGGCUCACCAAGGCUUAGACGGGUAGCUGGUCUGAGAGGAUGAUCAGCCACACUGGGACUGCGACACGGCCCAGACUCCUACGGGAGGCAGCAGUGGGGAAUAUUGGGCAAUGGGC